Molecule: long non-coding RNA, 611 nt
Organism: Dermacentor albipictus
Lineage: Eukaryota; Metazoa; Arthropoda; Arachnida; Ixodida; Ixodidae
Source: RefSeq, a predicted model, not a curated record
CACAUACAUACUUUAUGGUUCGUUGCUUAAACUUUAUUACUGCUCAUUUUCGUUUGUCUUGGGAGCCGUUUGUUAGCGCUUCAAAACGGCGAGCUCGCCAGCUGCGCCUUCGUGGCAGUGACGCAUCUGCAAUGGACGCUACGCGCGGUGUCUGCACCGCUAUGCCACUGGCCGCGCUGGCUUUGGCGAUGUGCUUGUCGUGGCCGCACGCCGCGUCCCCUGGCGGUACCGCUACACGCGUGUGGCAUAACGUGACUAAGGUGAAAGAACAAAACUUCAAGGGUUACGAAGGUGUGGUGAGCCUCGGCAUCGUCCAGGGGUCCAGUCAGAAAAAUUACUUCGACGUGCUGCAGCAAGUCGAAUCGAUCACGAUUUACGACGGUAAUGGCACGCUGGUGUGGGCCACGGUGGCUGUUUCCGAAUCGAACUGCAGCACAGCGACACCUUUCGUAGUGGGGACGUGCGUUGCGUACAUGCCUUCACGGACAUGCACUAUGGCGAUCUACAUCGGGCCUUUGGGAGUUCACCUGUCCACUCAGUACUACUAUUGCGCAUAGACAGCUUAUACCAACGAUAUAUAUAUAUAUAUAUAUAUAUAUAUAUAUAUAUAU